This 322-nucleotide unclassified non-coding RNA is filed under the name uncultured Diversisporaceae. Its description in RNAcentral is "sequence contains 18S rRNA gene". The record is from RNAcentral. Lineage: Eukaryota; Fungi; Glomeromycota; Glomeromycetes; Diversisporales.
CCCAACUAUCCCUAUUAAUCAUUACGGUGAUCCUAGAAACCAACGAAAUAGAAUCAGUCCGUCCUAUUUCAUUAUUCCAUGCUAAUGUAUUCAGACGUUAGCCUGCUUUAAACACUCUAAUUUUUUCAAAGUAACAGUCCUGAUUUCCAAUCACACCAAAUUAAUGACAUGAAAGUUCCUCAGAAGGUAGAGAUUUAUCUCACCAGUACAGACAAUUAAGCCUGACCAAUGGGUAAACCCCGAAGUUCAACUACGAGCUUUUUAACUGCAACAACUUUAAUAUACGCUAUUGGCGGCUGCUGGCACCAGACUUGCCCUCCAA